Molecule: ribosomal RNA, 117 nt
Filed under: Pteropus alecto (black flying fox)
Lineage: Eukaryota; Metazoa; Chordata; Mammalia; Chiroptera; Pteropodidae
Source: RNAcentral
GUCUAUGGCCAUGCUACCCUGAACAACCGCGAUCCCAUCUGAUUUCAAGCUAAGCAGGUUCAGGCCUGGUUAGUACUUGGAUGGGAGACCACCUAGGAACACCAGGUGCUGUAGGCA